UUUAUCUCACUAGUUCAAUUAAAAGACUAAUCCCAUCCACCCUGACCCCCAUCACGCACAAAACAAGUUUGAGAGUUAAACCCAACUGCGUGGCUCCUUCUCCUCCUUCUCCUUAAAUCGAAAAUCCACCUCAAUCCAUAGCUUUAUAAAUUCUCUCACUGCUCAAUCCCUAGAUUUUUAGGGUUUCCAAUUUAUUCUGUCACACCAUCCAAUCCCUAUCUUUCUAGGGUUUCUGAUCUAUUCCUCUUUCUCGUAUUUUUUUUCUGACCAAAAUUAAUGGCUUCCAUCCGGAGACCCUAUAUCAGUGGCUUCAUAGUUUCAGAGAUUAGUUAGCGGAGUUGUUGGUUAGGAUAAGGGUUUGAUGAGUGAUCUGAAUGCAGAUCUGGAUUUGUUGAAGGAUUUUUCUGGAAAUGAACACCUUGAUUAAAUAAUGAAACAAAAAUGAUAUAGAAGUUUUGUGCAAGCUUAUUAAUGUCAAUUAACAUUGGAGAACUUGGCAUUUACUUUUAGCAAGAAAGGGGCAUAGCAGCCAAAAUCAAGUUAGCAUUCAUUAAUUCUCAACUCCAAGUAGGAAGCAAUUUACUCUUAACAAAGUAAUUUUUAUUGGAAACUUCACUUGUCUGAUUGUUUUACAUUGGAGCAAUAUGAUUAAAAAGGAUUACGAUCAAAGAAAUGUUGGAAUUGCUAAAGAUCAUUGAAAAGUAACAGAAGGCAUGUUACAGCUGCUUCUUCAUAUGAUUAUGCAACCAAGAUAGUGGGGGCAAUGAAAGAAAAUUUACUAUUUACACCAAAAGUGUCCAAUUUUAGUUGUAUUAUGGUUUUGAGAAAACAUUGUCUUAAUUUUAGUUGUAUUAUGGUUUUGAGUAGUAACCAUGACUUUAGGUGUUAUAUAGUAACCAGUACAUGUUGCUACUUUUAGUACCCAUAGAAAGGAGGUACUCUGCUAUGCAAUUAUGUAAUACUACAAACAAUUGAAUGAAGGAGUUCAUAUAUUUGCCUCA
Long non-coding RNA from Trifolium pratense (red clover), 1001 nucleotides. RefSeq lists it as uncharacterized. NCBI's taxonomy places the organism in Eukaryota, Viridiplantae, Streptophyta, Magnoliopsida, Fabales, Fabaceae. The transcript has 4 exons. The record is from RefSeq and is a predicted model, not a curated record.